Molecule: long non-coding RNA, 5475 nt
Filed under: Sus scrofa (pig)
Lineage: Eukaryota; Metazoa; Chordata; Mammalia; Artiodactyla; Suidae
Description: lncRNA (ENSSSCG00030057591.1)
Source: RNAcentral
CUGUUUCUAAAAAUAAUGCAGUUUGCAAAAAACAGAAGGUUUGGUUUAUAACACAAACAAAAUUGUUACAUUCUGAAUGGGUUGUAAGUACCUGAUUCUUUGCCUUUUUACUCAUCCCUGCAAAAAAAAAAAAAAAAAUCUGCAAAUCCAUUUGCUAACCAGCUGUACCUCUGUGCGAAAUAGAUAACAACCUGGGCGAGCCAGGGUUUGCUGUGAAUCGGUGCUGAUAGGCCUGAAUCUCAUAGCUUUUUUUAAAUGCUAAUGACAAGAAACAUUUCCGAAGCCAAAACGCUCUUGUAGAUCUGUCUUCCUCUAUUAUGACUGAUAUUUGCUUGUAAGUACAUAGAACACUUGUUCCCCGUCCCUUAUCUGCGGCGCUGCAGCAUGCUGACCUACAUACCAUUCAGCACAAUAUGAUGCACAAACAUCUUCUAUAUAAUUUUUCAUUUUCGACUUAAAAACAGUAGAGGCAAAAUAGGAUUGCUGCAAAUCUAACAAAGAGAUGGCAUUAUUUCCAAAUAAAAAUGUGCAUUUUUCCAAAGAAUUUAUUUGUCUAGCAGCAUGAAGUUCAGACAUAGCAAUGCUGGGGAAAGGGUGUUAAAUUACGAUUAGGAAGGAAGGACUUAGGGAGGGAAACAAAACCCAUCUUUUCUACUCCCUGAGCAUAAUUAAGCUAACUUCUUUCUCACCACAAUUAAAAGUUCAGCUUUUCUGAACCGUGUUUUUGCAGUGUCACGAAAUGCAGCAGAUCGAAUAAUGCUGAAAUACAUACAAUAUUAACAAAGGAAGAAGGGAAGAACGUGACAGGGAGAGCUAUGGAAAGGGAAGAAAUCAUCUAUUCUCACACCUGCCAUUGUCGGAACACUCCAAACCAAGUUGUUUAUCUUUAUAAUUUCUUGCUGCUAUGGCUGCCAUGUUGAAAUGAUACUUGGGUUUCCAGCAAAACUGUUCAUAGCUGCAAGUGGAGUCCUUAAGCUGGAGGUUAUCUGAUGACCUAGCCUCUAUAAUGCUCUGCCAGACCAUUGUAAUUGCAAAUACAGUUGAGCCACGGAAAAAGGACUGUUUUUCUAGGACAGCACACAAAAGAGAUCAGCGAAGGUGCCAACAAGGUCAAAGGGCAAAGAGGGUGAAACCCCUCAUUAACUGGGAACACGGCUGGAAAUCUCCACUCUCACACUGCCUUCCCUCUGCCACUGAAGAGGUGGUUUACAAGUGCACCUCGGUUUAAUUUUUAAUGAUAAGCUGUCUUUGUUUUCCAAGUUUGAUGCGUCUGAAACAACUGGAAAAUCCCCAAGUAAGAUUAAAAGGACUUGAGUUGUGGCCCAAAUGACCUCUUUCCUUGCACGCUAAGUAAUUUGCUUCCUAAUUGUUUUGAGGGGACUUGAGUAAGAGGGCCGCAACAAAUACUUUUGCCACCAUUGUUGGAUGUUGACAAUAGGUUUUAAGCAUGAUUCACCUCUCUGAAUCAUUAUUUCAUAGUGCUCUACAAGGAGAGCAACCUUUUGCAAAGAGGUAGCAGUUAUCUGAAUUUCACCAGCUAGAAGCCUCUUUUCCAAAAAGCCAAGUCAAAGAUAAAAUGAAUUUUCACACUUUUUGCAGUUUUGCAGUUAUUCUGCUUUAAUUGUUUGCACCAGCCAAAUCUACCCAUCAGCUGCCAGACCCCCGCUUAUUUGUGAGCAGUGUUAACCCAGGAUUUCACAAUUUCUGCGUGAUGUGGGGAACAGAACAUUCUGCCGAGAGUCUGGAGACCCAGUGUUUUUAUCCUGGCUCUGCCACAAACUAGCUGUGUGACUUUGAGCAAGUCACUUGACCUCUCUGAACCUGUUUAUCUGGAGUUUGGCGUAGUUAAAUGAUAAGAGCUCUUCUGGCUGUGACAUUUGACAACUGGCUCCCCAUAUAUCCUUUUCAUUUGGGACCACUUAUCUCACCACUGUUGGCUCGUGUUAACUGCUAAAUACCAUAGAACCAUUUUCUAAGUGCUUAUUUCAGAUGAUACUGAAAGCUCUAGGAAAACCUUGUCUUUCGGCAUUACCAUAGAUAUGCUUAAGUGAUAACCAGCCCCCACUUUACUAUCCAUUGCUAAUGGCAACGCGUUACACUCCCACACGAGCACCCUAGGUCUAACUUAUUAAUGGUCUAUGCUAAUGCAAUUUCCAGAAAGUAUGUUGUUAUUAAAUUUUCUGGAAUUUCAACACAGCAAAACAACAUAUAACUGCUUGAUAAAUUACUUUGAAUAGAUUUAGUAAUUUGUGUAAGGGUGGCUCUCAUUUAUGUAAGAAGCCUAAAUCCAUUUAAAGUUAAUUUCUAAUUUUCUUAUAUUUAUGUCAUUCAGAAAUACACUGCUGGUCCAGGAGCAAUCUCUCCAAAACCCAAGUGAACUAUUAAUUUUAUUUGGGUUAAAGCAUAAAAUGUUAACAGUGUACAGAAUCCACAAUUUGCCAGUUACUCUUCACAACUCCUUCCAAAUAUCGUCUAUGAACUUUUUUCUCACAGAGAUUUUGUAUAGCAUCUCUGUUUUUUAUCUUAAAUUCGAGGCAAAAGAUAAAUGGGUUUAUUAAAUGAAAGUUCCUAGCAAAUAUCAAAUUAACAUAAAAAUUUUCAUGGACUAAGCAAUCUGUGUUUUAUACUGCUUUCAAUGAUUUGGAUGAAAAUAUAGUCAAAAAUUCUGGGUCUCCUUCCUUAAGAUUCUAUUUAUAAAAUACACCCAAAUGAAGAUUCUACUUCCUCAUUGUCAUGUUACUUAAAAAUAAUCACCUUGUCGUUGAAUUCUGUCUGAACUAUGCUAGGCACCAUAGGUAGGGCCAUUUAUACAGUCAUAACUGCUGCCCAUAAAAAACAGGGGGUUGACAGUAAGAUGGAUAAACCCACACCGAACACAUAGAUUAUGAACUAUAAGCAUCGAAUAUUAUUCCUACAAGAAAUGUAAAAGGUGUUGAAUUUUAACUGCUGUGCUCUGGUAGCAUCUAUGCUUUAGUCUUCAGCAGAGAGUUAGUUACACAUGCACACACUCACAUACACUUACACACACACACACACACACAAAUACACAUCAAGGAUAGCAAUAGAGGUCAGUGAUUUAAAACUGACGCAAAGGCAAAUUGAUAUUUCUGUGAGGGGACAAUGUCUUACAGAAUUUGGAAGUCUGUAAAGAAGUUGGAAAGCAGGAGUUCCCGUCAUGGUGCAGCAGAAACGAAUCUGACUAGGAACCAUGAGGUUGCAGGUUCAAUCCCUGGCCUCGCUCAGUGGGUUAAGGAUCCAACCUUGCCAUGAGCUGUGGUGUAGGUCGAAGACGUGGCUCGGAUCUGGCGUUGCUAUGGCUGUGGUGUAGGCCAGCAGCAACAGCUCUGAUUAGACCCCUAGCCUGGGAACUUCCAUAUGCCACAGGUGCAGCCCUAAAAAGACAAAAGACAAAGAAAAAAAAAGAAUUUAAAGUUGGAAAGCAAUUCAAUAUAAUUCAUGAGAGAAAUAAAAUGCUCAGAAAAGAAAUCACUCUAAUUCCUAAAGCACAUUCAUGGUAAAAUUUGCAAACCAAGUGCAAUGAAUAAGCUGUUACAUUUUUAAUAAAAUAUCUUACAUCUGAUUUUUAAAAUCAAAGAGAAAUUAAGGAGGUACUACCUUAACUGUUUUCUCAUGUUACAACUUGAAAUAUUUCAAAAAAGUUUUUGUAGUAAACACAUGAUGUAUUGCAUUUAACUUUGAAGAUGCAACUAAUCUGGUAACUCUAGAUUAUCUGAUAGUAAAUGAUCCAAAUCACUGUCAGGCUUAAUAUUCAACUUGGACAUCUACUUCUGAGCAAAACUGGCCAUUUUGAGUUUAGCGGAGAGGUAACUAAGAAGGGUCAUGCUCCAAGCAAGUGAUCACACAUCCCAUUUACUCAGAGCAUCCCAGUUUACUCGUGUGAUCCCAGCAUAAUGAUUAAUAGCUGCCACUCACACUUUCAAACAGCUUUCAAACAGGCCAUGGUUAGGGAUGAUUAAUUACGCAGGUCCCCUAACCAUAAUACAAUCUAUGAUACACACUCCAAGCCCUGCUACAGUAGAACAAACUCCAGUCCUGACCCGGCACUAGAAAUGUGGCAGUCUGUUGGAAUUUAUCAUCCUCCUCCCCCAUGAAAUGGACACAUUCUUUAAAGACAACAGCUGAACAAGCUACCCUGUCUGAUUCAUGGAUGUGACUUGUAGGCAUAUGUCCUGUCGAACCCUAAACUUUUCUCUGCUAGAGCCCACUGAAUUCACCAAAAAUUCCCAGGAUGAGCUGCGCUCUAUUGGAUUCUGCACAAAACCUGACUGUUAAGACUACUUAAGAGUAGAAAAUGUAUCUUAUGCCCCUUGAUGUCUUCCAAUGCCUUUAGCAUUCAGCCCGCUUGUAAGAACCACUCAAUAAACGUUUGUUGAAACGCCUGAAACAUUUGGUCAAAACACCUGGAUGAAUGGCCUAAUUCUUUACUUUCUUUCCAGCUAUUUAUCAUUAUGUAGAUCCAAAGAAAUCCAGAAAACAGACAAAUGCCAGGCCUGAGCAUGUCCGUGGGGAGAAGUGCCCAGGUGCACAUGAAAGGAAGUAACAUCCAUACUUAAACCUUUGCUUCCCUCCUGGUAACUUCUCAAUCUAUCUUCAUGUUCUUUUCUAAAGGCAACUAAUUGGCCACAUUCUACGACCUAGAUAUUCUAGAGGUAGGAGCCAGGUCUUUCCCAACGAACCCAUCAACAAAACAGUUGUUUCCACCUGAAUCUCCUGGACAAUAAAGUCAGGGUUCAAAACAGAGCCUUGCUAAAUAAAUAUCAGUACUUGCUGUUCCCUUGUACAGUAUUUCUGGAAGUCAUGGAGAGAACAGCCAAAGAGAUGGGAGAAUACAGAGGAAAUAACAAAAGAUGUAUAAAAGAAUUUUUUGCUCAUUCCAACUUUAGAAAAAAGUUGAAGUCUGUCAAGUUAUCAGCAGGAAUUGCAGUAUGUGAAUCAACCCUUAGAAAUUGUGCUUCACUGUUUUGCCCUCAGUUUUCACAUUCACAAAUUUUAAUUCAUGAUUUUUCAAAUCACAUCUUUAGCACAUUUGUGAUUUUUUUUCUUUUUCGGAUCACCCAAGCAGACUAAAUAAAUGCAAUGACUGUGCCUAAUAGCUUUUAUGAACCUACCACAUGGGAAAGAGUCAGAACUGUCAUAUAAUUUGGCAUCAUCUGGUAAGGAAAAGAGUUUCUACAGCAUCCAUCUAUCUUUGAAAAACAACAAAAAAGCAAAGUAGAUUCAAGCUGGAAAGAAGGGAUAGAAAGAAUGGGGCCCUGGAUACCAGACUCCACUCUCACAUGAUGUGUUCUUUGGGAAGGUUUGAGUCUGGGAGUUUUCUGCUUUCAUCGGACAACAUAAAAGUUGUUUCAGCAAGAAGCAGGGAACAAAGGAAGACUUUCAUUUACAAAAACAAGUAUUACAGCACAGUGUCUGUUAGGAACUUUUAUUUAUGCUGCACCUGGCAUUAUUUUUAAC